UCAUAUUUAGUAUAAAAAAUAUAUUAGAUUUAGAUUCUAAAGAUGUUUAAUAUGUGU
RNAcentral lists this transfer RNA (57 nucleotides) under Cooperia oncophora. RNAcentral's name for it is "tRNA-Leu". The record is from RNAcentral. Lineage: Eukaryota; Metazoa; Nematoda; Chromadorea; Rhabditida; Trichostrongylidae.